This 468-nucleotide ribosomal RNA is filed under the name uncultured bacterium. RNAcentral's name for it is "partial 16S ribosomal RNA". It matches the Rfam family "Bacterial small subunit ribosomal RNA", at positions 28 to 507 of the family's 1533-position model. The record is from RNAcentral.
GACGAACGCUGGCGGCGUGCUUAACACAUGCAAGUCGAACGGAAAGGCCCUGCUCUUGUGGGGUUCUCGAGUGGCGAACGGGUGAGUAACACGUGAGUAACCUGCCCUUGACUUUGUGAUAACUUCAGGAAACUGGGGCUAUUACCGCAUAUGAGCUUCUGCUGCAUGGUGGUGGUUGGAAAGUUUCGGCGGUUGGGGAUGGACUCGCGGCUUAUCCGCUUGUUUGUGGGGUAGUGGCUUACCAAGGCUUUGACGGGUAGCCGGCCUGAGAGGGUGACCGGCCACAUUGGGACUGAGAUACGGCCCAGACUCCUACGGGAGGCAGCAGUGGGGAAUAUUGCACAAUGGGCGGAAGCCUGAUGCAGCAACGCCGCGUGCGGGAUGACGGCCUUCGGGUUGUAAACCGCUUUCGCCUGUGACGAAGCGUGAGUGACGGUAAUGGGUAAAGAAGCACCGGCUAACUACGUG